This 318-nucleotide long non-coding RNA is filed under the name Mytilus galloprovincialis (Mediterranean mussel). Lineage: Eukaryota; Metazoa; Mollusca; Bivalvia; Mytilida; Mytilidae. The record is from RNAcentral.
CCGCCGUCCUUUUCUCGGCAUGUUUUCAGUUUUAGUAUCCAAAUAAUUUCACUAAAAUAAUUUUAGUACAUAUUCCUUAGAUACCUUUUCCCCGAAAAAAAAUCACUUGCACUAGAUAAACAAAUACGUAAAUGCAUUAAUUGUCCGGUAACCAACUUGAAAUUCGAAAUAUAUUUCGAUUCAAUAUAAGAUUUCAAAGGUAAAAAUAAAAAUUUGCAUCUGAAUGAAUUUAAACCACUAAAUGAAUGCGCGUUCAAUCAGCCACGACAAACGCAAAUGUUUACCAAAUAACACAUAGCUUUACAUGUUUAACAGAAG